GUAAUGAUUAAGUAGGGAUAGGUUGGGGGCAUUAGUAUUCAAUUGUCAGAGGUGAAAUUCUUGGUAUUUAUUGAAGACUAACUUCUGACGAAAGCAUUUGCCAAGGAUUGUUUUCAUUUAAUCAAGAACGAAAGUUAGGGGAUCGAAGACGAUCAGAUACCGUCGUAGUCUUAACCAUAAACUAUGCCGACUAGGGAUCGGACGAUGUUAAUUUUUAAUGACUCG
This 225-nucleotide ribosomal RNA is filed under the name uncultured Glomeromycotina. RNAcentral describes it as "partial small subunit ribosomal RNA". It matches the Rfam family "Eukaryotic small subunit ribosomal RNA", at positions 862 to 1078 of the family's 1831-position model. The record is from RNAcentral. Lineage: Eukaryota; Fungi; Glomeromycota.